Molecule: ribosomal RNA, 1493 nt
Filed under: uncultured prokaryote
Description: partial 16S ribosomal RNA
Rfam family: Bacterial small subunit ribosomal RNA
Source: RNAcentral
AGAGUUUGAUCAUGGCUCAGAUUGAACGCUGGCGGCAGGCCUAACACAUGCAAGUCGAACGGUAACAGCAGAGCUUGCUCUGGCUGACGAGUGGCGGACGGGUGAGUAACGCGUAGGAAUCUACCCAGUAGUGGGGGACAACUUGGGGAAACUCAAGCUAAUACCGCAUACGCCGGGAAAGCGGGGGAUCUUCGGACCUCUCGCUUCUUGAUUAGCCCAAGUGAGAUUAGCUAGUAGGUGAGGUAAAGGCUCACCUAGGCGACGAUCUCUAGCUGGUUUGAGAGGAUGAUCAGCCACACUGGGACUGAGACACGGCCCAGACUCCUACGGGAGGCAGCAGUGGGGAAUAUUGCACAAUGGGCGCAAGCCUGAUGCAGCCAUGCCGCGUGUGUGAAGAAGGCUCUAGGGUUGUAAAGCACUUUAAGCAGGGAGGAAGGCCUUAAGAUUAAUAAUCGGCGACUGUGACGUUAGCAACAGAAGAAGGACCGGCUAACUCCGUGCCAGCAGCCGCGGUAAUACGGAGGGUCCGAGCGUUAAUCGAAUUACUGGGCGUAAAGCGCACGCAGGCGGUUUGUUAAGUUAGAUGUGAAAGCCCCGCGCUCAACGUGGGAGGGUCAUUUAAAACUGGCAGGCUAGAGUCUUGGAGAGGGGAGUGGAAUUCCAGGUGUAGCGGUGAAAUGCGUAGAUAUCUGGAGGAACAUCAGUGGCGAAGGCGACUCCCUGGCCAAAGACUGACGCUCAUGUGCGAAAGUGUGGGUAGCGAACAGGAUUAGAUACCCUGGUAGUCCACACCGUAAACGAUGUCUACUAGCUGACUAGUUGUUGGGCAUUAGCUCAGUGACUAAGCGAAAGUGAUAAGUAUCCCACCUGGGGAGUACGGUCGAAAGACUGAAACUCAAAGGAAUUGACGGGGGCCCGCACAAGCGGUGGAGCAUGUGGUUUAAUUCGAUGAUACGCGAGGAACCCUACCAGGGCUUAAAUGUAGUCUGACAGCUUUAGAGAUAGAGUUUUCUUCGGACAGAUUACAAGGUGCUGCAUGGUUGUCGUCAGCUCGUGCCGUGAGGUGUCAGGUUAAGUCCUAUAACGAGCGCAACCCCUGUCGUUAGUUGCAAGCAAGUAAAGUUGCGGACUCUCACGAGAAUGCCUCAGCAAGUAGAGAGGAAGGUGGGGAUGCAGUCAAGUCCUCAUGGCCCUUACGUCUGGGGCUACACACGUGAUACAAUGGCGGGUACAGAGGGUCGCGAAGGGGUGACCUGGAGCCAAUCCCAAAAAGCCCGCCUCAGUUCGGAUUGAAGGCUGCAAUUCGCCUUCAUGAAGCCAGAAUCGCUAGUAAUCGCGUAUCAGAACGACGCGGUGAAUACGUUCCCGGGCCUUGUACACACCGCCCGUCACACCAUGGGAGUGGGUUGCUCCAGAAGUAGAUAGUCUAACCCUCGGGAGGACGUUUACCACGGAGUGAUUCAUGACUGGGGUGAAGUCGUAACAAGGUAACC